GAUGAACGCUGGCGGCGUGCCUAAUACAUGCAAGUCGAGCGAACAGACGAGGAGCUUGCUCCUCUGACGUUAGCGGCGGACGGGUGAGUAACACGUGGAUAACCUACCUAUAAGACUGGGAUAACUUAGGGAAACCGGAGCUAAUACCGGAUAAUAAAUUGAAACGCAUGGUUCAAUAGUGAAAGGCGGGUGUGCUGUCAGGUAUAGAUGGAUCCGCGCCGCAUUAGCUAGUUGGUAAGGGAACGGCUUACCAAGGCGACGAUGCGUAGCCGACCUGAGAGGGUGAUCGGCCACACUGGAACUGAGACACGGUCCAGACUCCUACGGGAGGCAGCAGUAGGGAAUCUUCCGCAAUGGGCGAAAGCCUGACGGAGCAACGCCGCGUGAGUGAUGAAGGUCUUCGGAUCGUAAAACUCUGUUAUUAGGGAAGACCAAAUGUGUAAGUAACUAUGCACGUCUUGACGGUACCUAAUCAGAAAGCCACGGCUAACUACGUG
This 497-nucleotide ribosomal RNA is filed under the name uncultured bacterium. RNAcentral's name for it is "partial 16S ribosomal RNA". It matches the Rfam family "Bacterial small subunit ribosomal RNA", at positions 28 to 507 of the family's 1533-position model. The record is from RNAcentral.